RNAcentral lists this ribosomal RNA (607 nucleotides) under uncultured beta proteobacterium. Its description in RNAcentral is "bacterial SSU rRNA". It matches the Rfam family "Bacterial small subunit ribosomal RNA", at positions 69 to 675 of the family's 1533-position model. The record is from RNAcentral. Lineage: Bacteria; Pseudomonadati; Pseudomonadota; Betaproteobacteria.
GGGUGAGGGGGCACUCUUCAUUCAGUGGCGAACGGGUGAGUAAUGCAUCGGAACGUGUCCCGUAGUGGGGGAUAACGCCGCGAAAGCGGCGCUAAUACCGCAUAUGCUCUACGGAGGAAAGCAGGGGACCUGAGAGGGCCUUGUGCUGGGGGAGCGGCCGAUGUCCGAUUAGCUUGUUGGUGGGGUAACGGCCUACCAAGGCUGCGAUCGGUAGCUGGUCUGAGAGGAUGAUCAGCCACACUGGGACUGAGACACGGCCCAGACUCCUACGGGAGGCAGCAGUGGGGAAUUUUGGACAAUGGGGGCAACCCUGAUCCAGCCAUGCCGCGUGCGGGAAGAAGGCCUUCGGGUUGUAAACCGCUUUUAGCCGGGAAGAAAAGCCUACGGAUAACACCCGUGGGUUUUGACGGUACCGGCGGAAUAAGCACCGGCUAACUACGUGCCAGCAGCCGCGGUAAUACGUAGGUGCGAGCGUUAAUCGGAAUUACUGGGCGUAAAGCGUGCGCAGGCGGUUCGUUGUGUCGGUGGUGAAAGCCCCGGGCUUACCUGGGAAUGGCCAUGAACUGGGCGAACUGGUGUGUGGCAGAGGGGGGGUGGAAUCCGCGUG